RNAcentral lists this ribosomal RNA (374 nucleotides) under uncultured organism. RNAcentral describes it as "partial 16S ribosomal RNA". It matches the Rfam family "Bacterial small subunit ribosomal RNA", at positions 527 to 896 of the family's 1533-position model. The record is from RNAcentral.
GGAGGGUGCAAGCGUUGUUCGGAAUUAUUGGGCGUAAAGAGCGUGUAGGCGGUCCGGUAAGUCAGAUGUGAAAGCCCUGGGCUCAACCCAGGAAGUGCAUUUGAAACUACCAGACUUGAGUACGGGAGAGGAGGGGGGAAUUCCCGGUGUAGAGGUGAAAUUCGUAGAUAUCGGGAGGAAUACCAGUGGCGAAGGCGCCCUCUGGACCGAUACUGACGCUGAGACGCGAAAGCGUGGGGAGCAAACAGGAUUAGAUACCCUGGUAGUCCACGCCGUAAACGAUGAGCACUAGGUGUAGCGGGUAUUGACCCCCCCCGCUGUGCCGUAGCUAACGCAUUAAGUGCUCCGCCUGGGGGACUACGGUCGCAAGACUA